Molecule: ribosomal RNA, 325 nt
Filed under: Varanus komodoensis (Komodo dragon)
Lineage: Eukaryota; Metazoa; Chordata; Lepidosauria; Squamata; Varanidae
Description: partial 12S ribosomal RNA
Rfam family: Bacterial small subunit ribosomal RNA
Source: RNAcentral
AAAACAACCCAUUCGCCCGAGAACUACCAGCACAAGCUAAAAACUUAAAAGACUUGACGGUGCUCUACCCUGCCUAGAGGAGCCUGUCCUAUAAUCGAUACUCCACGAUCCACCCGACCGUCACUAGUAACUUCAGCCUAUAUACCGCCGUCGAAAGUGUAUCCCUCAAAGGACCUAUAAUUUUCUCAAUAGUCUCCCGCUAAAACGUCAGGCCAAGGCAUAGCUAAUGUGACGGCAGAGAUGGGCUACAUUUUCUGACCACAGAACACACGAAAAAUGGUAUGAAACCUACCAUUCAAAGGAGGAUUUAGCAGUAAGGCGAAAA